AAAUUGAAGAGUUUGAUCAUGGCUCAGAUUGAACGCUGGCGGCAGGCCUAACACAUGCAAGUCGAACGGUAACAGAAAGCAGCUUGCUGCUUUGCUGACGAGUGGCGGACGGGUGAGUAAUGUCUGGGAAACUGCCUGAUGGAGGGGGAUAACUACUGGAAACGGUAGCUAAUACCGCAUAACGUCGCAAGACCAAAGAGGGGGACCUUCGGGCCUCUUGCCAUCGGAUGUGCCCAGAUGGGAUUAGCUAGUAGGUGGGGUAAAGGCUCACCUAGGCGACGAUCCCUAGCUGGUCUGAGAGGAUGACCAGCCACACUGGAACUGAGACACGGUCCAGACUCCUACGGGAGGCAGCAGUGGGGAAUAUUGCACAAUGGGCGCAAGCCUGAUGCAGCCAUGCCGCGUGUAUGAAGAAGGCCUUCGGGUUGUAAAGUACUUUCAGCGGGGAGGAAGGGAGUAAAGUUAAUACCUUU
Molecule: ribosomal RNA, 473 nt
Filed under: Escherichia coli
Lineage: Bacteria; Pseudomonadati; Pseudomonadota; Gammaproteobacteria; Enterobacterales; Enterobacteriaceae
Description: bacterial SSU rRNA
Rfam family: Bacterial small subunit ribosomal RNA
Source: RNAcentral